AUGUGUGAAUGAGUGGGGGCUUGAAAAUUCACAAUGAAAAUAAAGUUCCUAACUCUAAAAGCUGAAAAAAGUUGGUUGGCACAUGGAGUGAAAGGAAAGUUGUUUCUUACAGAUAUCACUGAAAUCUGUGAUUACGAUCAUGCACUAGAAGUUCUAUAAUUGAAUAAGAAGGGUGAAAGAGAAGGUCAGGACUGAUUCUGUGGCAUCUUUUUAGAUUAAUAUGUGUUUUACUGAAGAAUGUUAUGGAGACUUGACUUUUUAGUCAAAAGUCUUUUCCCCUACUUAAGGUGGACAUCUUUGUGGGGCUGGCUCUGAAUGCAAGAAGUUUGUAGAUUGCUGCAGCCUUCUGGGAAGAUGAUGCCUGCAGUGCAGAACAAAUAAGAUAGGUGUAAGAGGCAUCACAGUUUCUGCGGGAAGGGGACAGAGGAGCAGCCUGAAGGAUCCAAUCUUUUGUGGGAUUGGCAGUCAGAAGAGGUCACUUCCCCAUAAAUCCUAAGGAUCUAGGGGUCUAAAACAAUGUAACCACUGCUUUCUCUGUAGAGUCCCAAAUACUGCCUCCUCAGGGGAAGUUGUUAAGGAAACUGAGCUUUGUAACCGCUGCUCAUAUGGAGCACAUUGUCUUCUAGGAAACAUAAAUUGGUUUUAUGUUUCUCUAACAGAGUACUUUCAAUAUAUCUGCCAUGCUGAGCAUUGAUGAGCCAUAGUCUGUGGCACAUGGGAAAGAAUUCUAACAACGUUCAGAGGGUUGGAGACUUAACUGGUUGUUGGAGAAGUAAAAUUUCAUUGCCGCUUUGAAAAGUAUCCAUGAAGAUGAACUUUGCCUUUCUAAAGGUCUUGGUACAUGUAUUUCUUCUUAGAGCAGGCUGUUGUGCAUUGUACCAGUUGUCUUCAGGAGACUUGCUGGCCUCGUCUGUUAAAUGUCAUCUGGAAAAUAGGGCAUUCCCUUUAAGGGAAUGAUUAAAUAGGAACAUUGCCUCAAGGGGUAGUUUUCUGCACAUUUUUACUGUGACUGAUAAAACCAUAUGGGUCUUGUGAGUCUAUUUUAAUUGAAUCAGCUUUUAUUGAAAGACAGAAUUGCUAGAAAUGCACUGAAUGGAUGAAUUCCAAGUAAAUGAUUCACACUGUAAAACAGUUAGGAAUAUGAAAGCACAAAUCAGAGCUGGCUGAAAGUUAGAAUUCAAAUAUGCAUAGGAUGUUUAGAAAUUGCAUUGUUACUCUGCAAUAUGCAGAUGGAACUAUAUUAUGUUUUCCCAUACAGACUACUAGCUCCAUUGUUUGCACUGUCAUAAUUACAUAGUUGUAUAAUUUGUGAAGGCAGUGUAAUGUACUGUUAACACUCUAGGAUAUGACAGAAGUAAUGGUAACGAGAAAAAAUAAUUUUGGAUAGCAGUGUAAAUUUGUUGAAGAUGCAUUUAAUCAUGAACUGCUUCAAUGUAGAAAUAAAGACUAGUUUCUCACAA
This is a long non-coding RNA of Pipra filicauda (Wire-tailed manakin), 1460 nucleotides long. RefSeq lists it as uncharacterized. Lineage: Eukaryota; Metazoa; Chordata; Aves; Passeriformes; Pipridae. The transcript has 2 exons. The record is from RefSeq and is a predicted model, not a curated record.